AUGGGUAGCUAUGUAAUCGGCAUCCACCGCCAGCAUAGAGUGAAGCAGUCUGAUAAAAAAGAGUUGAAGGUCAUAUGCAUCCACACCGUGAAAGGUUGCCGCGGAAGAGUUCUCGCUAGACUGAAGGCUGGGGUAUGUCAGCCAUGGCAUAUCACAAAAAUAGUGGAGCAUACCUAUGAGCAAACUGGGACUCUUUCAAAUCACUGCAAUGUGACAGCAAAAUAUGUGGCACGGACGAUGGAAAAGAUUGUGCAGGGAAGUCUCAACAUUAGUGUUAGGGCUCUGCAAAAAGAUGUAGAGGAUCAAAUUGGCUUCCCUGUUAGCUACAAUAAGGCUAGGCGUGCGAAGGAAAAUAUAUUCAAGAACUUGUAUGGUACCUAUGAGGAGGCCUAUUCUUAUGCCCCUAGAAUGCUUCAUCAGAUAGCAAGUGCUAAUAGGGGGACUCAAGUUUGGCGGAGAGAACGUCCAAACCCAAUGAACACGGGUGAACUAAUCCUGGACCGCUUAUUCUGGGCAUUCGCCCAGACUAUACAAGCCUUCAGGCACUGUCGCCCGGUAUUAUCAGUGGAUGGUACCUUUCUCACUGGAAAGUACAAGGGCACACUAUUGGUGGCGAUUGCAGCAGAUGCAAAUAAUCAGCUUCUUCCUAUUGCAUAUGCAUUGAUCGAGAGCGAGAACAAAGAUAGCUGGUUGUGGUUCCUGAGCUACAUGAAGAUGGGUGUUGUGAAAGAGCGUGAAGGUGUUUGCAUCAUCUCUGAUCGCAUCACUGGAUUAUUAAGCGCUCUUGACAUAAUUAAGGCGUCGAAAGAAGAGUGGGGCUGGCCCGAUCUAGAGGGAAGGUGGUGCAUGAGGCAUUUGGCAGCAAACUUUUACUCCAAAUUCAAAAACAAGGAUUGGUUCAAGUUAUUCAAGAGGAUGUGCAUGCAAAAAACUGAAGCCAAAAUGAAUGCGAUCUGGGCAGGUAUCAAUGGUGAGAUCGACCGCGCGGCCUUGCCACAGAGAGAAGACCGGAGGGGUCGUAGGACGCCCAUAAAUUUGAGCCAGUGGAUCGGCAAGAAUUGCCCUCAUUUGGACAAGUGGGCGCAGGCUCACGACACCGGGGCUCGGUGUGGAAUAAUGACCAGCAACAUGUCAGAGGUGUACAAUGGUGUUCUUAAAGGGGUGCGAGCACUGCCUAUCACAACCCUAAUUGAAGAAACUUGGAACCGGACCUUGUCAUACUUUGCAGACAGGAUCCGAGAAGAUGCAAAGACAUCUGGACGAGAAAGCAAAGAAGUCCCAAAGUCAUGGCAGCAGGAAAGUGGACGCACUUAG
RNAcentral lists this ribosomal RNA (1314 nucleotides) under Triticum aestivum (bread wheat). Its description in RNAcentral is "partial small subunit ribosomal RNA". Lineage: Eukaryota; Viridiplantae; Streptophyta; Magnoliopsida; Poales; Poaceae. The record is from RNAcentral.